GCCCAAGUGGUGAAAUGGUAGACGCAGAGGACUCAAAAUCCUCCGGUAGUGAUACCGUGUCGGUUCGAGUCCGACCUUGGGCACCA
This 86-nucleotide transfer RNA is filed under the name Erysipelothrix sp. Its description in RNAcentral is "tRNA-Leu". It matches the Rfam family "tRNA". From Rfam's summary of the family: Transfer RNA (tRNA) molecules are approximately 80 nucleotides in length. Lineage: Bacteria; Bacillati; Bacillota; Erysipelotrichia; Erysipelotrichales; Erysipelotrichaceae. The record is from RNAcentral.